RNAcentral lists this ribosomal RNA (450 nucleotides) under uncultured bacterium. Its description in RNAcentral is "partial 16S ribosomal RNA". It matches the Rfam family "Bacterial small subunit ribosomal RNA", at positions 354 to 796 of the family's 1533-position model. The record is from RNAcentral.
GUGGGGAAUUUUGGACAAUGGGCGCAAGCCUGAUCCAGCAAUGCCGUGUGCAGGAAGAAGGCCUUCGGGUUGUAAACUGCUUUUGUACGGAACGAAACGGUCCGGGUUAAUACCCUGGGCUAAUGACGGUACCGUAAGAAUAAGCACCGGCUAACUACGUGCCAGCAGCCGCGGUAAUACGUAGGGUGCAAGCGUUAAUCGGAAUUACUGGGCGUAAAGCGUGCGCAGGCGGUUUUGUAAGACAGUGGUGAAAUCCCCGGGCUCAACCUGGGAACUGCCAUUGUGACUGCAAGGCUAGAGUGCGGCAGAGGGGGAUGGAAUUCCGCGUGUAGCAGUGAAAUGCGUAGAUAUGCGGAGGAACACCGAUGGCGAAGGCAAUCCCCUGGGCCUGCACUGACGCUCAUGCACGAAAGCGUGGGGAGCAAACAGGAUUAGAAACCCCGGUAGUCC